This 604-nucleotide long non-coding RNA is filed under the name Homo sapiens (human). RNAcentral's name for it is "non-protein coding LINC02020:21". The record is from RNAcentral. Lineage: Eukaryota; Metazoa; Chordata; Mammalia; Primates; Hominidae.
AAAUGCUCUAUAUCCACACUAUCCAAUAUGGUAACCACUAGCCACUUGUGACUACUGAGUGUCUGAAAGGUUCUGCUUGAAUUCUUGCCCUGGCUCUUGGUGAAGGAUCGGCCUGCUGGAUCUGAGUCAUCCACCUAUAAGAGGGACAACACCACACAUUGGUCGCUGCUCUCAAGCCCCUGGAAUACCACCCCACUUGGCUUCUCCUGGUAACAGUGGCUGCCUUUGCUUGCCUGUCUCCAACUCCUCCCAAGAGCAUUGCUGACUAUACCACCCACAUAAACAAAAACUUUUUGGGAGUCCUCCAGAAUUUUUAAGAGUUAUCUAAACUAUUGCCUUUAAUGACCAGGAACUCCAAUUUGAGAAGUUACCCUACGUUAAGCCAACAGCAGCCUGGCUCCUUCAUCCUGUGCAGUAUGGGACAGAGCUGGGUCCUUGUUGUCAUCAGCCAGACAAGCACACAUUAAAGCCCACCUUAGCCAUUGGCAUUACAGCUUUAAAAGCAGCUCCAUCCUACCAUGCUGUCACUCUACUCAAUCACGUGAUCUUAACGACCAGCUCUACAUAUCCUCUCUCCAUGCCCCCACCACCAUCCCCCACCAAC